GCUUCAGGUAGAGGCAAGAUCCGCCGCCACCACGACAGAAACGGGUGGCGAUGGUCCAGUGGAUAAGACACGUGCCUUUGGUGUGAGAGAUCCGGGUUCAGCUCUCCACGGUGACACGUCUACCAACGUGUCCCUGAGCAAGACACUUAACCCCUCGCCGGUCCAGAGUUGUGCGACCUCAUGUAUAGUAGCUGUAGGUCGCUGGAUAAAAGCAUGAGCUAAAUGUGAGGGUACAUUUUAGAAGAAGAGACACGCCAGUCAGUCACAUCCUCAGAUGUUAUCCGGUGGUUAUCCCGCCCCCCGCGCUAGAAAGCCAAUCGUCUGCUUUUAACAGCCAAAGCGGGAAACAUAUUUCAGCCAAUCGUGUGGCUCCACUGACGUACGGGUCUGUUAUUCUUCUACUGUGCAUACGAGGUAGACGUGACGCACGCGCAGUAGAAGUAUAACCGCUCGUGAAAAACGCUUUUAAACCUUAUUUUGGGGCAAAGUCGUCAAACUCUUCCAGAGAUUUCCAUCAGAUUUUGCUGCUGAUUCUGUCCAUGUAGUUUUUAUGUCCCGUGACCAGUGAGAGUGCAGCUCUCUGCUCAUUCAGGCAGGCGGGAGUCUGGUCUUGUUAGUCCGAAGUCGCUGCCAGGAAGCGUUGCCAAGAUGGCGGCCGAGUGGCGGGACCCGCCUAUAAGGACUUUGGUUCCAUUAAUAAAAUGUAAACGCUCCGUAUUUGCGUGGCGCCACCAGAACAGCAGCCAGGGGCCAUUCAGGUUCAGUCUUUUGCCCAAGGACGCUCGGUGAAGACGCACGGCUGCGUGUUGCAUGUUCGUGUCGCUCUGCAGGUUUUCCUGUUUCCAGCCACAGUUCAGUGAAGUCUGACGCUUCUGAUUGGUUCUCCUGCCUCUCAGGCCGUCGUCUGAAAACAAUUUAGAAAUUCAGUCAAAGUUAAAUUUAACUUGUUCUUUAAUAGAGAAAUUUAAAUGGACUCUGAUCUCAAAAUCCGUCUGUAGGGAUGAGGAUCGAGACCCGGUUCCAAAAUUUAGUAACGUUAUGUCUGGAGCGUCAAAUCUGAUUUAUCUUGAAACGCGAUGGACAAGAACUUAAAGACGAUGUUUUGUCAGUCUAAGGUAAACCUGUUGAAAGGUUCGUGUCCUCUGCGUCCUAAACAAGCGCAGCUAACGUUAGCUUGGCAGUUAGCCGAUUGUUCCAGACAGACGAGCCGCUCCUGAUGCAGACUGACUGUACGGUGACUUUGCUGUUAAACAUUAUUUAGCUGGAUUUAAAAUAUUCUAAUCCUAUAACUUAAAAACAUCCAGGCAGCUGUGGGAACGCUAAUAUUAUGUUUAUCACAACUCGCAUGUCAUCUCAAUAUGAAACAACUUUAUUGGAUAUUGUCGUCAUACCGUGCAGGCCGACCUGAAGAAUCGGCUCAGUAAGGCGCAUGUCGCCCGUCUGCUUCCUCGUGUUCUGUCUUGUUGACGACCUGCUGGGUCUCUGUUUCAGGACGAAGACUCCAGGUCCUGGAGCUCAGUCCGCUCUCAGAGCGCUGGCUCGCUCCGGCAUGAAGAUCGGACGCAUCGAGGACGUCACUCCCAUCCCGUCGGACUCGACCAGGAGGAAGGGCGGACGCCGCGGUCGCCGUCUGUAAAAGUGCAGCGUGAUUUUCUGACAAUAAAAAGCUUAAAGAGUG
Molecule: long non-coding RNA, 1678 nt
Organism: Micropterus dolomieu (smallmouth bass)
Lineage: Eukaryota; Metazoa; Chordata; Actinopteri; Centrarchiformes; Centrarchidae
Exons: 2
Source: RefSeq, a predicted model, not a curated record